Molecule: long non-coding RNA, 1171 nt
Organism: Ornithodoros turicata
Lineage: Eukaryota; Metazoa; Arthropoda; Arachnida; Ixodida; Argasidae
Exons: 2
Source: RefSeq, a predicted model, not a curated record
CUGGAUGUGGUGUUGUGAGCAACUCCCACAGUUCUCGACUCGAGAUAAGUGGUGACACGGAAGGCAUCUGGUUCUACGCAAUUACGAUAAGGCGGAUUUUUGUUCUUCAACGUACACGGACUGGUAGACGAAGCCUACGAAUGGUGAGCGUGAUCUUCUUUCGCAGUGACCGUCUGGGCUUUCUCAUUCGGCUCUGCAACAAGGGGCCUCAGUUAAGAGUUCGUUAGCGAAACGUUAGCGUUCCUAAACGGUAUAGUUGUUUCGCUGUAGCUAUAAGCUAGACAGAUGAAGAUGGCAGGCUUCAAGAGGAGCUACGCGCAUUUGUCUUCGAGCAGCUUUAAGUUAGGCUUAACUGAGCCCCCAUUCUGUUCGUCACAGAGCAACGGUCCUUGUAACGUGCUGACGCAGUUGGGCUUUGACGAACGGAAUGUUUUCUUUUUCUUACGCCAACCGAAGAGGAACUUCGCGUUUCAGUUCGUAAGCCAAAUGGGUGUUACGCCAAAGGUAAGCGAUAAACUUCUGUAUCCACCUUCGAUUUCCAAUUCCAUCGUGGUUAGGGUUAGCUUAUGGUCGCGCUGCUAGGUGUGAUGCGCGAGGUAUCUCUUCGGCUUAAGUUUGUAACUCGGCCACUUUUCCUAAUAAAAUGGUGUUCCUUUGUGUGUUUCUUCACUCGUACCCCUUUGACGCAAACAUGCACUAGCUUACUGGUUGAGGCAGGUACAUUUUGGGCUGCCCCCUUUGCCUCGUCCUUUUGCUUUGUCCUUUUAUUAGAUUUGUGUCUCUUGUAUUUUCCCGCCAUUUCAAUAAAGCCUUGCUUCCUCAUCUUGACUUUUUCUUCAAUCCCUGAUACGCAAACAUGCACUAGCUUACUGGUUGAGGUAGGUACAUUUUCACUACCCCCUUUCCCUUGCAGAGACUAUAGUCAUGUACUGCAGCGCAGCCUAGUUUCCCUGGUUCAUGGGAGGACACCGUCCGGCAGUGCCAUGCCCCCACUGGAACCUCGUGAAGUAUCUCACUUUGUUCAACUAACGACACUGGCUAAUUAUUUGCUUCUUUCUGCAGGUACUGUUCCCUACGGUAUGGAGACAAGGGGGCGAAAAGAGCCUUGAAGCCUUUUGUGUAUUGUUCCUUUAUUGCUAUUGCUUGUUGCGAAAUAAACACGUUUCUGAGA